GCUCCAAUAGCGUAUAUUUAAGUUGUUGCAGUUAAAAAGCUCGUAGUUGGAUUUCGGGUGAGUUCUAGCGGUCCGCCUCUGGUGAGUACUGCUAUGGCUUACCUUUCUGCCGGGGACGCGUGGCUGGGCUUCACUGUCUGGUCCGUGGAAUCGGCGAGGUUACUUUGAGUAAAUUAGAGUGUUCAAAGCAAGCCUACGCU
RNAcentral lists this ribosomal RNA (200 nucleotides) under uncultured eukaryote. RNAcentral's name for it is "partial 18S ribosomal RNA". It matches the Rfam family "Eukaryotic small subunit ribosomal RNA", at positions 588 to 795 of the family's 1831-position model. The record is from RNAcentral.